GCGAAGAACCUUACCUGGGUUUGAAGAAGUUGAGGGGGCGAAACCUUCCGCAAGGGACAGCUGGUUAGGUGCUGCAUGGCUGGAGCGUGGUGAGAUGUUGGGUUAAGCCGCAACGAGCGCAACCCCUGCUGCUAGUUGCCAACGGUGGCCGGGCACUAGUGGGACUGCCGGUGAUAAACCGGAGGAAGGUGGGGAUGACGAAGCAUGGUUUAUGCAGGGCGACACACGUGCUACAAUGGCCGGUACAAACCGGCUAAAGCGCAAGCUGGAGCCAAGGAAAAAGCCGGAGUGGAUUGGGGUGCAACGACCCCAUGAAGCUGGAAGCUAGUAAGCGGAAGCACGCCGCGGUGAAUACGUCCGGGUUGUACACACCG
This 374-nucleotide ribosomal RNA is filed under the name uncultured Acidobacteriota bacterium. RNAcentral's name for it is "bacterial SSU rRNA". It matches the Rfam family "Bacterial small subunit ribosomal RNA", at positions 961 to 1392 of the family's 1533-position model. The record is from RNAcentral. Lineage: Bacteria; Pseudomonadati; Acidobacteriota.